This 438-nucleotide long non-coding RNA is filed under the name Bos taurus (domestic cattle). RNAcentral describes it as "long non-coding RNA NONBTAT022706". The record is from RNAcentral. Lineage: Eukaryota; Metazoa; Chordata; Mammalia; Artiodactyla; Bovidae.
GCUGCAAACUUAAUAAGUAAAAGCCGAGUAAACCGGAAAGCCACUGGUAUGACUGGCAAAAUCCUGUUAGUUACAAGAAAGUAGACGUUCUAGAAAAAUGAGGGCUCACAGUUUGCCCUGUGUUGUCUUGGGGCUUAGACUGGUCACUUCCUGUCUCUUCUGCCUUCCUCUGCCCUGCCCAGGGGCCUUGGUGAGCAAGACCCAAGAGGGAGUUGCCCAGCAGACAGUGUGGGUGAGAGUGAGUUUUCUCUCACCAAGUUUAGACCUCAUAAAACUCAUCCUACCGGUGACACCUGGGAUGGCUUUUCCCCACCUCACUAAUUUGGGGUUUCUUAGUUGAAGGGUGAUGGUGAAUAAGAAAAAAAAUACUCAAAAGUUCAUCUCAAAACUGACAUAGGGGGGAAAAAAGCGCCCAUUAAAGUCUUUUAAAAGCCUAAA